This 847-nucleotide long non-coding RNA is filed under the name Setaria italica (foxtail millet). RNAcentral's name for it is "long non-coding RNA (SITA_LNC005499)". Lineage: Eukaryota; Viridiplantae; Streptophyta; Magnoliopsida; Poales; Poaceae. The record is from RNAcentral.
GGCUUUUAUGUGCACUACUGUAUAUUAAGCAAAAUUCACAAAGCUCACUACAUUUGUUGAAACUAUCACACAUUUCAAAGUCUACAUUUUUUAAAAAAAAAAUACCACGCAUUCAUACACCAAAGCCUCACUUUGGUUUAUAUACAUUUCAGGAAACAAGCUUUCAAGUAUUGCUGUAAUACCCAACGGUUCAGGUCCGGCAUUCAGUCUGACAAGCAAACCAUGUUCCUGCUUUCUCGUAUGCAGAUAGUUGGCACACGUUGGAUAAAAACUGACAAGUAGGACGAAAGUUGAAUGGAAGUAUAUAUUAUUAGCCUAAAAUAAGAGAAAAAUAUAGCUGGUUAAUCAACUUCCAGAAGAGACGGAAUAAUUAGGACCGCAGUCCAGUGGCAGCAGCCUGUGGCCAUUUUCCAGCGCAGCCGGGCAGCAUUUCCUGACCCACACGACGCGCGCGCGACGCUCCAGCCCACACGCCAGGUCAGCGCAAGUAAACGGUCGGCCAGGCCACAUCGGCACGGCGCCAGCCAGUGGUCGCGCCACGUCAGCUAGCUUCGGGCGGAUGCGCCCCACGCGGGACAUGCCAGAGCCAGCCAGCGGAAUGCCAGGCGAGAGGCGACGACGACCUCUUCUUCUGUCCCGUGGGCGGCCGCUGCCGGCGCGGCGACGCUGGCGUGCAAUUGGUAGCAGCUUUCGCCGUACGUGGCUGCCGACCUGCUGAUGGAGCUUGCUUGCUUCGAGUGAGUUUUUAUUGGGGCGUCGCUGAAUUUGAAUGUUUCUGCAGGAGGUUUUGACAGCGCCGGAGUUUGCAGCAUUUUCACACCUGAACGGCCGGCGUCGUUGAUCCUUU